CCUACGGGUGGCAGCAGUGGGGAAUAUUGGGCAAUGGGCGCAAGCCUGACCCAGCAACGCCGCGUGAAGGAAGAAGGCUCUCUGGUUGUAAACUUCUUUUAUCAGGGACGAAGCAAGUGACGGUACCUGAUGAAUAAGCCACGGCUAACUACGUGCCAGCAGCCGCGGUAAUACGUAGGUGGCAAGCGUUAUCCGGAUUUACUGGGUGUAAAGGGCGUGUAGGCGGGAAGGCAAGUCAGAUGUGAAAACCAUGGGCUCAACCUGUGGCCUGCAUUUGAAACUGUUUUUCUUGAGUACUGGAGAGGCAGACGGAAUUCCAGGUGUAGCGGUGAAAUGCGUAGAUAUUAGGAGGAAGACCAGUGGCGAAGGCGGUCUGCUGGACGGCGACUGACGCUGAGGCGCGAAAGCGUGGGGAGCAAACAGGAUUAGAUACCCUUGUAGUC
Molecule: ribosomal RNA, 443 nt
Filed under: uncultured bacterium
Lineage: Bacteria
Description: partial 16S ribosomal RNA
Rfam family: Bacterial small subunit ribosomal RNA
Source: RNAcentral